CCUACGGUGUGCAGCAGUGAGGAAUAUUGGUCAAUGGACGAGAGUCUGAACCAGCCAAGUAGCGUGAAGGAUGACUGCCCUAUGGGUUGUAAACUUCUUUUAUAUGGGAAUAAAAUGUUCCACGUGUGGGCUUUUGUAUGUACCAUAUGAAUAAGGAUCGGCUAACUCCGUGCCAGCAGCCGCGGUAAUACGGAGGAUCCGAGCGUUAUCCGGAUUUAUUGGGUGUAAAGGGAGCGUAGGUGGAUUGUUAAGUCAGUUGUGAAAGUUUGCGGCUCAACCGUAAAAUUGUAGUUGAAACUGGCAGUCUGGAGUGCAGGAGAGGUGAGCGGAAUUCGUGGUGUAGCGGUGAAAUGCUUAGAUAUCACGAAGAACUCCGAUUGCGAAGGCAGCCUACUAAACUGUCACUGACAUUGAUGCUCGAAAGUGUGGGUAUCAAACAGGAUUAGAUACCCUAGUAGUC
This 460-nucleotide ribosomal RNA is filed under the name uncultured bacterium. RNAcentral's name for it is "partial 16S ribosomal RNA". It matches the Rfam family "Bacterial small subunit ribosomal RNA", at positions 338 to 795 of the family's 1533-position model. The record is from RNAcentral.